AUACAUAGGGGGCGAGCGUUGUCCGGAAUGACUGGGCGUAAAGGGAGCGUAGGCGGUCAUGCAAGUUAUAUGUGAAAGCCCGGGGCUUAACCUCGGAACUGCAUGUAAAACUGCAUGGCUAGAGUGUGGGAGAGGAAAGUGGAAUUCCUAGUGUAGCGGUGGAAUGCGUAGAUAUUAGGAGGAACACCAGUGGCGAAGGCGGCUUUCUGGACCACAACUGACGCUGAGGCUCGAAAGCGUGGGGAGCAAACAGGAUUAGAUACCCUGGUAGUCCACGCCGUAAACGAUGGAUACUAGGUGUAGGAGGUAUCGACCCCUUCUGUGCCGGAGUUAACACAAUAAGUAUCCCACCUGGGGAGUACGGCCGCAAGGUUGAA
Molecule: ribosomal RNA, 377 nt
Filed under: uncultured bacterium
Lineage: Bacteria
Description: bacterial SSU rRNA
Rfam family: Bacterial small subunit ribosomal RNA
Source: RNAcentral